GACGAACGCUGGCGGCGUGCUUAACACAUGCAAGUCGAACGGAAAGGCCCUGCUUGCCGGGUACUCGAGUGGCGAACGGGUGAGUAACACGUGGGUGAUCUGCCCUGCACUUCGGGAUAAGCCUGGGAAACUGGGUCUAAUACCGGAUAGGAGCCAUUUUUAGUGUGAUGGUUGGAAAGUUUUUUCGGUGUAGGAUGAGCUCGCGGCCUAUCAGCUUGUUGGUGGGGUAAUGGCCUACCAAGGCGGCGACGGGUAGCCGGCCUGAGAGGGUGGACGGCCACAUUGGGACUGAGAUACGGCCCAGACGCCUACGGGAGGCAGCAGGGGGGAAGAUUGCACAAUGGGCGCAAGCCUGAUGCAGCGACGCCGCGUGGGGGAUGACGGCCUUCGGGUUGUAAACUCCUUUCGCUAGGGACGAAGCUUUUUGUGACGGUACCUAGAUAAGAAGCACCGGCUAACUACGUG
RNAcentral lists this ribosomal RNA (465 nucleotides) under uncultured bacterium. Its description in RNAcentral is "partial 16S ribosomal RNA". It matches the Rfam family "Bacterial small subunit ribosomal RNA", at positions 28 to 507 of the family's 1533-position model. The record is from RNAcentral.